UCCGUAGGGUGCAAGCGUUAAUCGGAAUUACUGGGCGUAAAGCGUGCGCAGGCGGUUUUGUAAGACAGGCGUGAAAUCCCCGGGCUCAACCUGGGAAUGGCGCUUGUGACUGCAAAGCUGGAGUGCGGCAGAGGGGGAUGGAAUUCCGCGUGUAGCAGUGAAAUGCGUAGAUAUGCGGAGGAACACCGAUGGCGAAGGCAAUCCCCUGGGCCUGCACUGACGCUCAUGCACGAAAGCGUGGGGAGAAAACAGG
Molecule: ribosomal RNA, 253 nt
Filed under: uncultured bacterium
Lineage: Bacteria
Description: partial 16S ribosomal RNA
Rfam family: Bacterial small subunit ribosomal RNA
Source: RNAcentral